Molecule: ribosomal RNA, 301 nt
Filed under: uncultured bacterium
Lineage: Bacteria
Description: partial 16S ribosomal RNA
Rfam family: Bacterial small subunit ribosomal RNA
Source: RNAcentral
CAGCAGCCGCGGGAACACGUAGGUGGCAAGCGUUGUCCGGAAUUAUUGGGCGUAAAGGGCUCGCAGGCGGUCAAUUAAGUCUGAUGUGAAAGCCCCCGGCUCAACCGGGGAGGGUCAUUGGAAACUGGUUGACUUGAGUGCAGAAGAGGAGAGUGGAAUUCCAUGUGUAGCGGUGAAAUGCGUAGAUAUAUGGAGGAACACCAGUGGCGAAGGCGACUCUCUGGUCUGUAACUGACGCUGAGGCUCGAAAGCGUGGGUAGCAAACAGGAUUAGAUACCCCAGUAGUCCCUGUCUCUUAUAU